GCAAGUCGAGGGGUAACAGAUGAAGAGCUUGCUCAGAUUGCUGACGACCGGCGCACGGGUGAGUAACACGUAUGCAACCUACCUUUUACAGAGAGAUAGCCCAGAGAAAUUUUGAUUAAUACCUCAUAAUAUUUUUAACUCGCAUGAGUUUUAAAUUAAAACUUCGGUGGUAAAAGAUGGGCCUGCGUUGUAUUAGUUUGUUGGUGAGGUAACGGCUUACCAAGACUACGAUGGAUAGGGGUUCUGAGAGGGUAGUC
Molecule: ribosomal RNA, 257 nt
Filed under: uncultured bacterium
Lineage: Bacteria
Description: partial 16S ribosomal RNA
Rfam family: Bacterial small subunit ribosomal RNA
Source: RNAcentral